Molecule: RNA transcript, 1644 nt
Organism: Hevea brasiliensis (rubber tree)
Lineage: Eukaryota; Viridiplantae; Streptophyta; Magnoliopsida; Malpighiales; Euphorbiaceae
Exons: 9
Source: RefSeq, a predicted model, not a curated record
AUAUAUAUAUAUAUAUAUAUAUAUAUAUACAGUGUCGGAUCUAAUCGUCAUCUAUUUCCAGCGAUGAGCCCAGUUGAAUUCCCUAAUUCAAACUGAGUCAAGAUUAGGGAUGUAACGUUUUAGAUCUCCUUCGAAGGUAAUAGUAAAGAUUAUAGGGAAGAAUUUGGAUGACAAGAGCAUCAAGGAUUCAGUCUUCAAUUUGGAAAGUUAGCGAUAAGCAUCCAGGUUAUAAAGCAAGUGAUUCAGACUCAGAUGAAUCGAAGGAUGAUUCUUGAUAAUACGAAAUUGGUUUCAUGACCAAAACAAUUACAAUGAUGUCUGGCUAGGAAGAUGACAGAAAGAUAUUUGUCUGAUGAUGAGUGGGAUGCAGCACGCUUGUAUGUGUUGUUAAAUUGUGAAGAGGUUCAACCAUUUGCAUAUAUCUUUGAAGAUGAGUUGAGAAGAAAUUCACAAGACAUUAGCCUUGAACAAAUUGAUAAAGAGACAAAUAGUAGAUUUGCCAAGUGGUUCAAAGCUUAUGUUUCACCCACAUGAUGUUGUUUGGGAUGUCACAGAAGCAUUUAAAAAGAACUUUCAUGGCUCAUGGCCUUGUUGGUGCAAGAGGAAUUAUUCCAUUAAAGAUGACCAUAAAGAUAUGAUUCGGGAUACAUUUGAGCGUGUGGGGAGUGGAAGGUUGAGUGACACUUUAGGAAAGGCCAAAAAAGCAUUUUCAAAAAUGAAGAAAAUACCAAAGUGGAUUAGUCAAAAUCAUUAGGAUGAUUUAAUGAAGCAUUGGAAUACAGACAAUUUCAAGAAAAUAUCAUCCAUCAACUUAAAGAAUAGAAAGUCGAGCAAUAAUGGAGAAGGUCCAUCCUUACAUACUGGAGGAUCAGUUUCAUUUGAUGAAUAUAGAAGAAGAUAUAAAGAAACAACUAAUCAAGUACUUAGGGAAGAUGAAUGAUACUUGAAGACUCAUAGGACAAAAGAUGAUAAGCAGAUUUGUGGGAUGUCAGAAAUAGUGUGGAAUACAUUCACAAGAAAUAUUAAUCAGAAGGUAGGUGAGACAUCAACUAUAAGAAAUGAAGAUGGUUUUGAAGUACAGGAAAGAGAUGUGGGAUUAAAUAGGGCAACAGAGGAAAAUAAGGUACAAGAAUGCAAUGAUGACAACAAUAUCUUGACUUUGCUACAAAAUAUUCCAAAGGAGCAAGUGUUGAAUACUUGGAUUGACACAAUUGGUGGAGGAAAGAAAGGAAGAGUGUAUGGCCUUAGCUUAAAAACUUCAGUUCUAGGAAAAUUAACCCAUGUUAGUUCUGUCCACUCUAAUGCUCCAACUUCUCCAACUGUCCCUCCCCAACAAGUUAUUGAAACACAUGAUUUUGAGCAAGCAGUUAAUCAUGUGGUGGAUCAACGGGUGGAUAAUUGGGUAGAUUAGCGGAUGGAGCUUCUGCAGGCACGUUUUCUUGAGGAAGGAAAAGUAGUAGUCCAUGCUGUCAUGAGCCACAUGUUUGGUCUCUUUCCAUAGCCACUAAGAAAUGACUCUAGUUCUUGCAAACAACCACCCCCACAUAUUUAGAGUUUAUGCUAUGACUUUUGAAGUGUAAAACAUGUUUUGGCUCUAUGUUAUCAUUUGCUUUUAUCUUCAGAAUAAAGUAUUACUUUUUGCAA